Molecule: long non-coding RNA, 1193 nt
Organism: Armigeres subalbatus
Lineage: Eukaryota; Metazoa; Arthropoda; Insecta; Diptera; Culicidae
Exons: 2
Source: RefSeq, a predicted model, not a curated record
AUUUUUUGUUUCCUCAUGUCAACAUUCGUAAACAUUAUCUUCAACCUCUUCCUUGGGUAUCGUACUCUGUGUGUUUUGUAUGUAUGAACUGAAAUUAUUACUUAGAUCCCGAGUUUGAAUGUUGUUGCAGAUCCAGUUUGCAGAUCAGCUCAAAUCUUUCCUGUAUCACCCCUUACCCGCCUAGUAUUGAACAGGUCGGAACGACGCAUGAAAAGCAUCGACUAGAUCAAUUUCGUCAUUUUUGUUGCAUAUGUCCGGAAGAAGUUGGUCAGCAAUAGCAUCUCUGGCAGUAAUAAGAAAUUCUCAGAGAAACUUCCGGUAAUCUUCGAUGGGUGUGCAUGACAGUUUAUCGCUAUCGAACAUUGUACUCUCGAAGCAGAAAAGCGUUUUCAACAGCGAAUAUAGCACUGAGGAAAUAAGUUCUGUGGAUCAGUUAAUGAUUGCGGGUGAGCUUCCUUCACGAAGUAAACAUGCGCGGCGGAGUGAAAAACACAAAACCGGGACAAUGGCAGAUCCCAUUUCCGCGUCAAGGUAACCGAUUCGUUCACUAUCGAACUGUUGCGCAUUCGUUUCAACUUGUUCGCAUUGCCUUUUACUGAUGUGGGAAAAGUGAAGGUGCCUUCUUACGCUGAUGCGGGAAUCCAGAUAAAGUUUAAAGAAAGGUAUGUGAUUCUGUGGCCCACAAUCGGCUAAUCUAUGCUGGGUGAUUGCAAUGAAAAAACAUUAGAGACCUCUUCAACGUAACUAUGCCAACGUUACAUCACUUUCACGCCCUUUUACUGAAUGGCAUAUACUAAUGGAGGAAUGAAACAGGAAUAUAUACAUUGACUAUAACACAAUAAUGUGUCAAUUGAAAAAUAAGGCAACGACCAGGUGUAGGUGUACCAGGUACACCUACCGUAUACAUCUAUACGGUGGUGAUAGGCUGUGCUAUUAGCGAGGAGGAAAAACGCAACUACGAAUCAUAUCAUGUUUCGGCGGCAAAGUUCAGCCUACGGUACGACCGAAUAGUUUUAUUCAUAAACAUGUUUGAUCAAUGUCAACGGCACACCUGCCAGCUCCCUACAAGCUGAAUGAUACCCAAGAUAUCGACUUCAUAAUCCGUGUUGUUUUGUAGUCAAGUUUAAUUUUUUUAAAUAUUGUUUAAAUAAGUAUUUAAAAAUACAGGAAAAAUAAAGAUAUAGAGGGAAGAA